GUAGCAAUACGUCAGCGGCAGACGGGAGAGUAACACGUGGGAACGCGCCCUUCGGUUCGGAAUAACUCAGGGAAACUUGAGCUAAUACCGGAUACGCCCUAACGGGGAAAGAUUUAUCGCCGAAGGAACGGCCCGCGUCGGAUUAGCUAGUUGGUGAGGUAAUGGCUCACCAAGGCGACGAUCCGUAGCUGGUCUGAGAGGAUGACCAGCCUCACUGGGACUGAGACACGGCCCAGACUCCUACGGGAGGCAGCAGUGGGGAAUAUUGGACAAUGGUCGCAAGACUGAUCCAGCCAUGCCGCGUGAAGGAUGACGGCCCUAUGGGUUGUAAACUUCUUUUGUAUGGGAAAAAACCCCUCUACGUGUAGAGGGCUGAGGUACCAUAAGAUAAGGUCGGCAA
Molecule: ribosomal RNA, 400 nt
Filed under: uncultured bacterium
Lineage: Bacteria
Description: bacterial SSU rRNA
Rfam family: Bacterial small subunit ribosomal RNA
Source: RNAcentral